Molecule: ribosomal RNA, 422 nt
Filed under: uncultured Mucilaginibacter sp.
Lineage: Bacteria; Pseudomonadati; Bacteroidota; Sphingobacteriia; Sphingobacteriales; Sphingobacteriaceae
Description: bacterial SSU rRNA
Rfam family: Bacterial small subunit ribosomal RNA
Source: RNAcentral
UAAGGAAUAUUGGUCAAUGGGCGGAAGCCUGAACCAGCCAUGCCGCGUGCAGGAAGACGGCCCUACGGGUUGUAAACUGCUUUUGCAGGGGAAUAAACCUUCGUAUGUAUACGAAGCUGAAUGUACUCUGAGAAUAAGGAUCGGCUAACUCCGUGCCAGCAGCCGCGGUAAUACGGAGGAUCCAAGCGUUAUCCGGAUUUAUUGGGUUUAAAGGGUGCGUAGGUGGUUUUUUAAGUCAGGGGUGAAAGACGGCAGCUUAACUGUCGCAGUGCCUUUGAUACUGAAGAACUUGAAUAAACUAGAGGUAGGCGGAAUGUGACAAGUAGCGGUGAAAUGCAUAGAUAUGUCACAGAACACCAAUUGCGAAGGCAGCUUACUAUGGUUUGAUUGACACUGAGGCACGAAAGCGUGGGGAUCAAACA